AAACUUUAUUUCUUCUGAUGAGAGAUCAGCCAAAGUAAACAAUGCAAAACUAUCACACAUGUGAACAAUUAUCAACACAGUAAAGAAUACAACGGGGCAAGAAAAGGAGCCCUGGAAACCAACGAGGUGGGAUCAGGUUCCUAGAAGGCGUAAGCAUCCCCUGUCGACACACCUGCUGUGAGACCUUUGUUUUGAUCAGCAUACGAAAAUUCCAUUGAAAACGACGAAGAAACUUUAUUUCUUCUGAUGAGAGAUCAGCCAAAGUAAACAAUGCAAAACUAUCACACAUGUGAACAAUUAUCAACACAGUAAAGAAUACAACGGGGCAAGAAAAGGAGCCCUGGAAACCAACGAGGUGGGAUCAGGUUCCUAGAAGGCGUAAGCAUCCCCUGUCGACACACCUGCUGUGAGACCUUUGUUUUGAUCAGCUCAAGGUCCUUCUCCUCCUUAAAGACAACAUUCGUUGAGGUGAGCUCUGUAAUCUCUGAUUACCUAUGUUUCUUUCAAUGCUAGAUGGUUAAACUGUGUUGUGGAUAUUGAGAAAAUGCAACGAAUGUCGAAGA
Saccostrea echinata is the source of this 563-nucleotide long non-coding RNA. RefSeq lists it as uncharacterized. NCBI's taxonomy places the organism in Eukaryota, Metazoa, Mollusca, Bivalvia, Ostreida, Ostreidae. The transcript has 3 exons. The record is from RefSeq and is a predicted model, not a curated record.